UGAAUUGCAGAUCUCUCAGUGAACCAUCGAAUUUUUGAACGCACAUAGCGCCCGCCGGUCAUUCCGGCGGGCAUGCCUGUCCGAGCGUCGAUGACGCCGCUCGAGCCCCCGUGCUCGGUGUUGGGGCGCUAGGUCUCCCAGAGGCCUAGGCCCCCAAGUAGCAGUGCGCGGUCCGGCUGCGGGCCCCGGGUAGAGUAACUUCACUGUUGAGAUGCCCUGGGACUCGCUGGCCGGGUCAGCCGUAAAACCCCCGACAUAGGCCUCCCCCAACCCGCCCGCGGGUGACGGGAGACCGCCUAAUGUUGACCUCGGAUCAGGUAGGACUACCCGCUGAACUUAAGCAUAUCAAUAAGCGGAGGAAAAGAAACCAACAGGGAUUGCCCCAGUAGCGGCGAGCGAAGCGGCAAGAGCUCAGAUUUGAAAUCUGGCCGCCCCCGGCGGUCCGAGUUGUAAUCUGCAGGCGGGUUCUCUGGCGAGCGCGCACCACCUAAGUCUCCCUGGAACGGGGCGCCAUAGAGGGUGAGAGCCCCGUGAGGAGGGGCGCGCGAGCCUGUGUGAGGCCUGUCCGACGAGUCGAGUAGUUUGGGAAUGCUGCUCUAAAUGGGAGGUAUAUUCCUUCUAAAGCUAAAUACCGGCCAGAGACCGAUAGCGCACAAGUAGAGUGAUCGAAAGGUGAAAAGCACUUUGAAAAGAGAGUGAAACAGUACGUGAAAUCGUUGCAGGGGAAGCGCUGGUUACCAGUCGCGCACCGGGGGGUUCAGCCUUCGCCUCGGCGUCGGUGUACUCCCCCCGGCUGUGGGUCAGCACCGGCUCCCGCGGCGGGAUAAAUGCCCAGGGAACGUGGCCCUCGCUUCGGCGGGGGUGUUAUAGCCCUGGGCGCAGUGC
RNAcentral lists this ribosomal RNA (885 nucleotides) under uncultured Sordariomycetes. RNAcentral's name for it is "eukaryotic LSU rRNA". The stretch from base 304 to 885 matches the Rfam family "Eukaryotic large subunit ribosomal RNA", at positions 1 to 580 of the family's 3401-position model. The record is from RNAcentral. Lineage: Eukaryota; Fungi; Ascomycota; Sordariomycetes.